Molecule: long non-coding RNA, 425 nt
Organism: Carlito syrichta (Philippine tarsier)
Lineage: Eukaryota; Metazoa; Chordata; Mammalia; Primates; Tarsiidae
Exons: 2
Source: RefSeq, a predicted model, not a curated record
GAUCGCGCUGCACGCCCGGCAGCUACCAUGGCGGAUGUGUCCGAGAGGACGCUGCAGCUGUCGGUGCUGGUAGCCUUUGCCUCAGGCGUAGUCCUGGGCUGGCAGGCGAACCGGCUGCGGAGGCGCUUCCUGGACUGGAGGAAGCGGAGGCUGCAGGACAAGCUGGCGGCGACGCAGAAGAAACUGGACCUGGCCUGAGACCCCGCGCCGUCGGUCCCCGCGUGGCCACCUUGCCAUGCCCGCGCGGGAGGUCAGGCUCGGCGCCGGCCCGAGCCCGGCUUGCCUUGUACCCCCCAGCCUGUCGUGGUGGACUCUUCCCGCAGUGUCGCAGCUUGUUGAAGAUUGAUAUUGAGCACUGGAAAGAAUUAUGUCUUCUUGCACUUUAUGAGUCAAUUUUAUUUUUAAAAUAAAAAGCUUUAAACGCC